Molecule: transfer RNA, 76 nt
Filed under: Candidatus Beckwithbacteria bacterium
Lineage: Bacteria; Candidatus Beckwithiibacteriota
Description: tRNA-Val
Rfam family: tRNA
About the family: Transfer RNA (tRNA) molecules are approximately 80 nucleotides in length. Their secondary structure includes four short double-helical elements and three loops (D, anti-codon, and T loops).
Source: RNAcentral
GGAACCAUGGCGCAGCUGGUAGCGCGCUUCAUUCACAUUGAAGAGGUCGAAGGUUCGAAUCCUUCUGGUUCCACCA